UUUUAUUUUUUUUUCAACUCGACAAGGGAAGAACGACGUCGUUUCCAACUUUAGCACUGUUUCUCCCCAAUCUGUCAUCAACCCUAUCUCUCUAAUCGCGUGUGUUCUCUGCGUUUCUACCCACUCCUCCGUACGACUAAUCACCUUCUGAAUUCGUUUCCUCUCUCACAGCCUUGCUUUCCCUCACAUGAAUCUCAAACCCUAGCUGUUCUUGCGUGUUAGCCUUCCUCUUUCAACCUACUUCUCACCAAUCCAUCAAUAGAGUCUUUUCUGAUUGAUCUGAUGAUGAAUUGCUUUCGGCCGCCGCUUGAUGUGUAAUUGAAGCUAACGUUGCCGCCGAUUAUGGUAGAAUCAAUCGCGUAUCGACAGCUCAAAUCGUCCGCUGUUCAUCUGUCAUUUUUCCUCACGAGAACCCUAACUACUAUGGUUGAAUGCAUCAGCAGAAGUUGAAUACUUUAGCAAAUGGUUAUUGGAUUUGUUCACUCUGGGUUCCUGCUGUUGAAGAAUGACAAGUGGGACUAAGAAAAGAAGGGUAUAGAGAGUGGAAAGUGUAGCAAAGAAAUAAAAGUACAAGAGAGUGUUGCAAUGCUAUUUGAGGUGUGUUGUGGGGAAAGACUGUCGGAUAACAUGAUGGUAUGGGGCUUCAAAGGUCCACAAGUGCCUCGCUGGGACAUAAUUGCAGAGAAACUGGGUUUCAUGUUGGUCUUUGGAGAUUUAGUGUGGAUUGAUAUGACUCAAUGCAGGCAGAGAACUGUUCAAAAAAUGUGGAAGACUGUCAUACAUGGCAAGUCCUUGCAGGUAUUGAUCUUGCUGGUCAGAUUGUUUUGGUUCUAAUAGGCAAAAGCUGUGUUUUUUCUUUUGGCAGGUCUUAAUUUUAAUGGUCAAACUUUUUCUAACACCUUUCAGAAGCUUUCAUUGCUAUUUAUAUUAAUACUUAAAUUGGUUUGAUUUAGUUGGUGCAUUGUUAUUUACUCCCUCUACAAAUUUGUGCAUCCUUUUAGUGUGCAAAUGGUGAACCCCUUGAGUGAAUAAGUUGAAGAUAUUUUCUUUUCACAUUGGGAAUUUGUAUUGCAAAUGGUGGAUUGUUACAUUGUCUAUGCUUCUUAAUUUUGUGAUUUACUGAUUUGUCUCAUAAAUUUUAGGAUGAAUAGCUCUGACAAAAAUGAUUUGUUGUAAUUAAUCAUAUUACCUUAUAUUUUUACUCUUCAUUCACUGUGAUCCCAUUUUGUUGUAGAGGAGAAUGUUAUUUUAAUUCAAAAGCUGAGAAAUGUUUUUAUCCUGCUUUCUUUUAACUGGGGUUGCCUCUAUGAGUGUGUUGAAGUUCAUGCAAGUUGAAGCAUUAGAGGCAACUAUCAAGAAGUAUAUCAUGAGCAAAGUCAACUGAUAGAAAGGGAGAGAGUGCUUCAAGAAGAACGUGAUUUAGGAUGCUUCUCGGAGUACAGGAGUGUGUGCUUGCCAAUCAGAGGUCGAUUUAAUUAACAAGAACCAUAUGGAAGACUGAUGGUUGAACUUAAUGUCCUUAGGGUGUGGAAAAAUAUACAAAUGCAAUCUCGAUCACACACCAGUAGCACUAAAGAUUCUGUAUGAGGAGUUUCUAAAGAGGAUUUUCUUAAGUUUUUUUUUCUCUUCUUGCUGAAUUUUUUAUGAGAUUUAGUCUAUGAGACCUACUGAACCCAAAAAUGGUUCUUUGUUUUUUCUUCCCUUCUUAUACCUUAUGUAAUUUGCAGAUCAGGGUCCAUUGUCUUUCAAAGGAAUCCCUUAUUAAGUGGCUCCUGAGGUUCUAAUUUUUUAGGAUCGCUUCUUUAUAUUUUACCAUGUGGUGUUCAUAUGGUUAUUCCAUUCACUUAAAUGAGUUUCACACGGUUCAGUACC
Lotus japonicus is the source of this 1872-nucleotide long non-coding RNA. RefSeq lists it as uncharacterized. The transcript has 6 exons. Lineage: Eukaryota; Viridiplantae; Streptophyta; Magnoliopsida; Fabales; Fabaceae. The record is from RefSeq and is a predicted model, not a curated record.